UACGUAUGGAGCAAGCGCUAUCCGGAUUUACUGGGUGUAAAGGGAGCGUAGGCGGCAUACCAAGCCUGAUGUGAAAACCCGGGGCCCAACCCCGGGAGUGCAUUGGGAACUGGCAAGCUAGAGUGUCGGAGAGGCAGGCGGAAUUCCUAGUGUAGCGGUGAAAUGCGUAGAUAUUAGGAGGAACACCAGUGGCGAAGGCGGCCUGCUGGACGAUGACUGACGCUGAGGCUCGAAAGCGUGGGGAGCAAACAGG
Molecule: ribosomal RNA, 253 nt
Filed under: uncultured bacterium
Lineage: Bacteria
Description: partial 16S ribosomal RNA
Rfam family: Bacterial small subunit ribosomal RNA
Source: RNAcentral